GACGAACGCUGGCGGCGUGCUUAACACAUGCAAGUCGAACGGAAAGGCCCUGCUUUUGUGGGGUGCUCGAGUGGCGAACGGGUGAGUAACACGUGAGUAACCUGCCCUUGACUUUGGGAUAACUUCAGGAAACUGGGGCUAAUACCGGAUAGGAGCUCCUGCUGCAUGGUGGGGGUUGGAAAGUUUCGGCGGUUGGGGAUGGACUCGCGGCUUAUCAGCUUGUUGGUGGGGUAGUGGCUUACCAAGGCUUUGACGGGUAGCCGGCCUGAGAGGGUGACCGGACACAGUGGGAGUGAGACACGGCACAGACCCAUAGGGGAGGGCGGAGGGGGAAAUAUCGCAAAAGGGGGGGAAGCAUGACGAAGAAACCGCGUGUGGGAGAAGAGGGCUUUGGGGUUGAAACCCGUUUGCGUGUGUGAAGAAGUGAGAGGGGGGGAAAGGGAAAAAGACGCAGGGGAAAACCAUG
This 466-nucleotide ribosomal RNA is filed under the name uncultured bacterium. Its description in RNAcentral is "partial 16S ribosomal RNA". It matches the Rfam family "Bacterial small subunit ribosomal RNA", at positions 28 to 505 of the family's 1533-position model. The record is from RNAcentral.